GAGUUUGAUCGUGGCUCAGAUUGAACGCUGGCGGCAUGCCUAACACAUGCAAGUCGAACGGUAACGCGGGGGCAACCCUGGCGACGAGUGGCGGACGGGUGAGUAAUACGUAGGAAUCUGCCCAUUAGUGGGGGACAACCCGGCGAAAGCCGGGCUAAUACCGCAUACGCUCUACGGAGAAAACGGGGGAUCGUAAGACCUCGUGCUAAAUGGAUGAGCCUACGUCGGAUUAGCUAGUUGGUAGGUAACGGCCUACCAAGGCGACGAUCCGUAGCUGGUCUGAGAGGACGAUCAGCCACACUGGGACUGAGACACGGCCCAGACUCCUACGGAGGCAGCAGUGGGGAAUAUUAGGACGAAAUGGGGGCAACCCUGAUCCAGCAAUGCCGCGUGUGUGAAGAAGGCCUGCGGGUU
This 414-nucleotide ribosomal RNA is filed under the name uncultured Gammaproteobacteria bacterium. RNAcentral describes it as "bacterial SSU rRNA". It matches the Rfam family "Bacterial small subunit ribosomal RNA", at positions 9 to 424 of the family's 1533-position model. Lineage: Bacteria; Pseudomonadati; Pseudomonadota; Gammaproteobacteria. The record is from RNAcentral.